UUCAACAACUGAAUAUUGUUAUGCUAACACAUGUUUAGUUGGUGUGUGUUUUGUCAGAUAAAAUGCAUGUUUCUCAGGAGACACAUACUGUAGUUAAUUCCGAAGGAGAAUAGCAACCUUUGCUUCUGCUAGAUACGUACUUAAAUUUAUUGAUAUUCAACUAUUUUUGUUGUUUCGGUUUAGUUCCAUCCAAGGCCACCAGUUGGUUAUAAGUACUUCCAAAUAGUGAUCACCCAAUCUUCUGUAGCAUGUAUAUACUGAUGGUAGUUUCUUCCACCGAAUAUGUGAACCUGGAGAAGACUCACUAUGAAGGUCUCCUGACAACUAAAGUUUUACCUGCUAUUAAAACGGUCGAAACAGAGUAUGCAGAUCUUCAGUAGCUUCGACAGAUUUUUGUUGAACUACGAUUGUUUCUGUAUGCUUCUUCUCUAAGAGAAAAUUGUGUUCUGUUGUAGUUACAGUCAGUGGGGGCCUGAAAAUUCACAUCACCAAAAGAAUUGUAGAAUUUGAUAAGAGAACAUUUUCUUAAUAAGUAAAUAAGACGCAAUUACAGUGUGUAACAUUCUGAUGAAUGAACCUGCUGCAAGAGGCAAUAAAAGUGACGAUGCUUGAUUUUAUUAAUUGUCAGGAUGAAAUAUAAAGUAGUAAGAUAAGUGUGAGCGUUCACCUAAUUUGUUUUUUACCUAUUAAAUGGCCAGUUGGCGACGUACUGUCAACUUGGUACAUUCAACAUGCGUGUUCAGGUUUUAGGAUGAAAUUUAAUCCAAGAUCAUUACUUUAUGUUUUCCUACGUAUAUGUUGGCAUCUUUGACUUUGAUAUGUUCGUUGCACUCUAUUGGGCCUACUUUUGACCCAAGUACAUUGCCAUGCAGUCGUGUGAAAAAGUAUUGGGCUUGCAGUGAAAGAAGUUCCGGCCUUUUGAAGCAACAAUUGACAUGGCUGUACAUACAAGUUUCUUUCUUGGAUGUCUAUUAUUUGUUUUUCUGCUAGCUUUGAUUUCUCUUUUUGGUCAGUUGAAACGGUUAGUCUUGAUAGGUCGACCACUUAUAUUAUUUCGAAGGUUCAAUGAGCAUAUGGUAAAGAAAGGUAUCAAUAGAUUCACCAAUGUAGAUUACAAGAGUAAAGGUUUAUCUAAUGAGGCCUUGUCGCGGCGCUGCAAGUGUUGCCCCCCUCCUCCCCAAGGGCUAGGUGAAGGAGGGUGCAUGUGUGGUUCUUCUGCAGCUCGCAGCGAGGAUUCUUGUGUCCAACCUGCACAAGAAUGCCAAGAAGUCCUUCUCGGAGAUGAUUAAGGACAUGUACCUGCACUACAACGAGAGAUCUUGGCUGCUUUUUUGUGGCUUCCAAACUUGAAAUGUUUGUUUGGAAGUUAGUUUAGUUUUUUGUUGUGGAUUCACAGCUUCUCACAUGUACCGUCCUCUUAGACCUUUAGAUUUUCAAAGAAACUAAAUGAAGAUAUGGUGGUAUGGUCUCAAUAGUACAACUUAAAGCCUUCCAUGCUUUAUA
This is a long non-coding RNA of Triticum dicoccoides, 1503 nucleotides long. RefSeq lists it as uncharacterized. The transcript is spliced from 2 exons. The record is from RefSeq and is a predicted model, not a curated record. NCBI's taxonomy places the organism in Eukaryota, Viridiplantae, Streptophyta, Magnoliopsida, Poales, Poaceae.